AGGAAAUUAGGUUAACUAGACCAAGGACCUUCAAAGUCCUAAGUAAGUACACUACACUUAUUUCCUG
This 67-nucleotide transfer RNA is filed under the name Trichys fasciculata (long-tailed porcupine). RNAcentral describes it as "tRNA-Trp". Lineage: Eukaryota; Metazoa; Chordata; Mammalia; Rodentia; Hystricidae. The record is from RNAcentral.